GAUGAACGCUGGCGGCGUGCCUAAUACAUGCAAGUCGAGCGAACAGAUGAGGAGCUUGCUCCUCUGACGUUAGCGGCGGACGGGUGAGUAACACGUGGAUAACCUACCUAUAAGACUGGGAUAACUUCGGGAAACCGGAGCUAAUACCGGAUAAUAUAUUGAACCGCAUGGUUCAAUAGUGAAAGACGGUUUUGCUGUCACUUAUAGAUGGAUCCGCGCCGCAUUAGCUAGUUGGUAAGGUAACGGCUUACCAAGGCAACGAUGCGUAGCCGACCUGAGAGGGUGAUCGGCCACACUGGAACUGAGACACGGUCCAGACUCCUACGGGAGGCAGCAGUAGGGAAUCUUCCGCAAUGGGCGAAAGCUUGACGGAGCAACGCCGCGUGAGUGAUGAAGGUCUUCGGAUCGUAAAACUCUGUUACUAGGGAAGAACAAAUGUGUAAGUAACUAUGCACGUCUUGACGGUACCUAAUCAGAAAGCCACGGCUAACUACGUG
RNAcentral lists this ribosomal RNA (497 nucleotides) under uncultured bacterium. Its description in RNAcentral is "partial 16S ribosomal RNA". It matches the Rfam family "Bacterial small subunit ribosomal RNA", at positions 28 to 507 of the family's 1533-position model. The record is from RNAcentral.